Drosophila albomicans is the source of this 199-nucleotide long non-coding RNA. RefSeq lists it as uncharacterized. Lineage: Eukaryota; Metazoa; Arthropoda; Insecta; Diptera; Drosophilidae. The record is from RefSeq and is a predicted model, not a curated record. The transcript is spliced from 3 exons.
UUGGUUUUUCGCACAAUUCCACAUUACUUAAAGUUGCUUAUUUAUUAUUUACGAGUCGGACAUGCAUGCAUCGAUAUAAAUAAUCGAAAGUCAAAUCUAAGUGACAAAAGAACGAGUUCAGCCAAACUAGCGGCUCAAUCUAAAAAAGAACAAAAACUUUGCAAAACAAACGGAGAAGAGGCUGUUGUUGCAUGUGUGU